This 1168-nucleotide long non-coding RNA is filed under the name Anas platyrhynchos platyrhynchos (common mallard). RNAcentral describes it as "lncRNA (ENSAPLG00000024869.1)". Lineage: Eukaryota; Metazoa; Chordata; Aves; Anseriformes; Anatidae. The record is from RNAcentral.
GCUCCAGACAUUUGCCUGCGGGCAGGGGAGUUGCACGUACACGCGAGGGCUCUGGUGAUUUGGGGGAGGCUCCGGGGCUAUUUUUACUUUUUUUUUUGGGGGGGGGGGGGGCUGCCCUCGCGGUGUCCCCCCCCCCCCCAAAAAAAAAAAAACCAGGCGUGUGGCCCGACGGCUCGGACGGCACCGACAUCAACUCCCUGUGCCGCUCCCACCACGAGCGCCUGGUGGCCGUGGCCGACGAUUUCUGCAAGGUGCACCUCUUCCAGUACCCCUGCGCCCGCCCCAAGGCUCCCAGCCACGUCUACGGGGGCCACGGCAGCCACGUCACCAACGUGCGCUUCACCCACGACGACGGGCACCUGGUGUCGCUGGGGGGCAAGGACACCGGCGUCUUCCAGUGGCGGGUGCUGGGGGGGCCGCCGGUGCCCGCCGGGGGGGCCGCGGAGCCCCGUUGAGGCCCCCCCGUUACCCCCGUUACGGGACCAGGGGGGCCCCGGCCCCCCCCCCCCCCCCACUUUUUUUCCCCCCCCCCCCCCCAAUAAAACCAUGGAGCGGGCGCCCGGCCCCCCCCCCCCCUCCUGCCGCCGUUACCGGGCCCCGCUUCCGGGGCGGGGCCGGGAGCGGCCGCCCGUUUCCCGGAAGGGGGGGGGGGGCGAACGGGCCCGGGCCGGAAGGGCGCGGGGGGGGGGGGGGGGGUGGGGAUCGGAUCCCGAAGGUGUUCCGGAGAUACCCGAACCGCGCUCCUGAAGCGCUCGGGGCUCCGGCGGAACUUACCGAGGCCCUUCCGGAAGAAGCCGAAGGUGCUCCGGAGAUUCCCGAACUGCUUCCCGAGCUCCCUCCGAAGAUUUCCGAGCCCGCUCCGAAAGCUCCCGAACGCGGCAGCGGAGACGUUCGGAAAAGAGCCGAGCGUCUCCGGAAAGCUCCGAGGCCGUUCCGAUAAGAGCCGAGCCUUUCCGAAAGCUCCCGAGGCUGCAGCGAAGCGGUUCGGGAAAGAGCCGAAGGGCUCCGGAAAGAGCCGAGGGGGCUCCGGAAAGAGUCGAGGGGGUUCCGGAAAGAGCCGAGGGCGCUCCGGAAGGAGCCGAAGGUGCCGGUGCGGAGGCGGCGGGAGCGGGAGGCGAUGGAGGCCCGGGGGUAGCGCGGCCCAGCCGAGCGGCCAUGGCGGCCAACA